Molecule: ribosomal RNA, 465 nt
Filed under: uncultured bacterium
Lineage: Bacteria
Description: bacterial SSU rRNA
Rfam family: Bacterial small subunit ribosomal RNA
Source: RNAcentral
GUACGGGAGGCAGCAGUGGGGAAUUUUGGACAAUGGGGGCAACCCUGAUCCAGCAAUGCCGCGUGAGUGAAGAAGGCCUUCGGGUUGUAAAGCUCUUUUGUCAGGGAAGAAACGGUGAGGUCUAAUACACUUUACUAAUGACGGUACCUGAAGAAUAAGCACCGGCUAACUACGUGCCAGCAGCCGCGGUAAUACGUAGGGUGCAAGCGUUAAUCGGAAUUACUGGGCGUAAAGCGUGCGCAGGCGGUUAUAUAAGUCAGAUGUGAAAUCCCCGGGCUCAACCUGGGAACUGCAUUUGAGACUGUAUGGCUAGAGUGUGUCAGAGGGGGGUAGAAUUCCACGUGUAGCAGUGAAAUGCGUAGAUAUGUGGAGGAAUACCGAUGGCGAAGGCAGCCCCCUGGGAUAACACUGACGCUCAUGCACGAAAGCGUGGGGAGCAAACAGGAUUAGAUACCCCUGUAGUCC